UUUUUUUUAAGGAGAACAACCUUCCCUUCCCUUGACAUGUAUGGAAUCCUGAAGAGAUUGGGCCUUGCUGGAAAGAGAGCCAGAACACAGGUGCUGCAUGUCAGUCGUCAGCUCGUGUCGUGAGAUGUUGGGUUAAGUCCCGCAACCAGCCCAUCCCUUGUCUUUAGUUGAUACGAAAGGGCACUCUAAUGAGACUGCCGGUGACAAACCGGAGGAAGGUGGGGAUGACGUCAAGUCAUCAUGGCCCUUAUGGGUAGGGCUACACACGUCAUACAAUGGCCGGUACAGAGGGUUGCCAACCCGCGAGGGGGAGCUAAUCCCAGAAACCCGGUCGUAGUCCGGAUGCAGUCUGCAACUCGACUGCGUGAAGUCGGAAUCGCUAGUAAUCGCGUACACGCCCCCAGAUUGCC
This 410-nucleotide ribosomal RNA is filed under the name uncultured bacterium. RNAcentral's name for it is "bacterial SSU rRNA". It matches the Rfam family "Bacterial small subunit ribosomal RNA", at positions 950 to 1358 of the family's 1533-position model. The record is from RNAcentral.